UUAACUCAAAUUUGUAUGCAGUUGGAACAGCGCCCCUAGCGGCAAAAGUAGGCAAACGUUGCAACUCCAUACAAAUUUGAGUUA
RNAcentral lists this microRNA precursor (84 nucleotides) under Bombyx mori (domestic silkworm). Its description in RNAcentral is "mir-2807 microRNA precursor family". It matches the Rfam family "mir-2807 microRNA precursor family". Lineage: Eukaryota; Metazoa; Arthropoda; Insecta; Lepidoptera; Bombycidae. The record is from Rfam by way of RNAcentral.